CACGUAGGGCGCAAGCGUUGUCCGGAAUUAUUGGGCGUAAAGAGCUCGUAGGCGGUCUGUUGCGUCCGCUGUGAAAGCCCUAGGCUCAACCUAGGAACUGCGCCCAAUACUGUGAGACUUGAGUGUCGGAGAGGAUAGUGGAAUUCCCAGUGUAGAGGUGAAAUUCGUAGAUAUUGGGAGGAACACCAGUGGCGAAGGCGGCUAUCUGGACGAACACUGACGCUGAGACACGAAAGCGUGGGGAGCAAACAGG
This 253-nucleotide ribosomal RNA is filed under the name uncultured bacterium. Its description in RNAcentral is "partial 16S ribosomal RNA". It matches the Rfam family "Bacterial small subunit ribosomal RNA", at positions 524 to 776 of the family's 1533-position model. The record is from RNAcentral.